RNAcentral lists this ribosomal RNA (199 nucleotides) under Enterococcus faecium. RNAcentral describes it as "partial 16S ribosomal RNA". It matches the Rfam family "Bacterial small subunit ribosomal RNA", at positions 1 to 184 of the family's 1533-position model. RNAcentral also lists the same sequence under 2 other names. Lineage: Bacteria; Bacillati; Bacillota; Bacilli; Lactobacillales; Enterococcaceae. The record is from RNAcentral.
UUUUAUGAGAGUUUGAUCCUGGCUCAGGACGAACGCUGGCGGCGUGCCUAAUACAUGCAAGUCGAACGCUUCUUUUUCCACCGGAGCUUGCUCCACCGGAAAAAGAGGAGUGGCGAACGGGUGAGUAACACGUGGGUAACCUGCCCAUCAGAAGGGGAUAACACUUGGAAACAGGUGCUAAUACCGUAUAACAAUCGAA